GACAGAGGAUGCAAGCGUUAUCCGGAAUGAUUGGGCGUAAAGCGUCUGUAGGUGGCUUUUUAAGUCUGCCGUCAAAUCCCAGGGCUUAACCCUGGACAGGCGGUGGAAACUACCGAGCUGGAGUACGGUAGGGGCAGGGGGAAUUUCCGGUGGAGCGGUGAAAUGCGUAGAGAUCGGAAAGAACACCAACGGCGAAAGCACUCUGCUGGGCCGACACUGACACUGAGAGACGAAAGCUAGGGGAGCGAAUGGG
Molecule: ribosomal RNA, 253 nt
Filed under: uncultured bacterium
Lineage: Bacteria
Description: partial 16S ribosomal RNA
Rfam family: Bacterial small subunit ribosomal RNA
Source: RNAcentral